UGCCAGCAGCCGCGGUAAUACGAAGGGGGCUAGCGUUGUUCGGAAUUACUGGGCGUAAAGCGCACGUAGGCGGAUUAGAAAGUUGGGGGUGAAAUCCCAGGGCUCAACCCUGGAACUGCCUUUGAUACUGCUAGUCUUGAGUUCUAGAGAGGUGAGUGGAAUUCCGAGUGUAGAGGUGAAAUUCGUAGAUAUUCGGAGGAACACCAGUGGCGAAGGCGGCUCACUGGCUCGAUACUGACGCUGAGGUGCGAAAGUGUGGGGAGCAAACAGGAUUAGAUA
Molecule: ribosomal RNA, 279 nt
Filed under: uncultured bacterium
Lineage: Bacteria
Description: partial 16S ribosomal RNA
Rfam family: Bacterial small subunit ribosomal RNA
Source: RNAcentral